Molecule: long non-coding RNA, 1340 nt
Filed under: Equus asinus (donkey)
Lineage: Eukaryota; Metazoa; Chordata; Mammalia; Perissodactyla; Equidae
Description: lncRNA (ENSEASG00005034794.1)
Source: RNAcentral
CGGAGGAGCGCCCACCCGCGUCGACGCAGGCGUCGGACCUCCCGCCCGCUCCGGGUCCGGGGGGUGGGGAAGGAGACCGUGUGAGGUGCGUGGGUUCUCAGUCCUGCUCCCGGCCAGGUGCUGGUGGUUGGCCCAGGCGGUGGCCGUGUCAAAACAUUAUAGUGACAUCCCUGACAUAUCCAUUCCCCCUGAGGUCGACUGUGCGAGAGGCUGAUCUCACAUCAUACACAGGAGAAGCCACAGCAGAAAAGCUGUAGGCAGAAGAGAUGGAGAAGAAGAAAUUCGAGAAAUUCUAAGCGUGAGGAAGAUAAGACCUGUCUUUCUUGGCCCUAAGAUGUGGAGUUCUGUUUGAAAGGACUGGGAAGAGGCCUUUAGGAAUUAAGUGUGGCCCCCAGUUGACAGCGCGGCAAGAAAAUCGUGACUACCUUCCUACAACCAAUUGGAUUUGGCUGAGAACCUGAAUGAGUUUAGAAGCAAUUCAUCCCCAUACCAGCGGAAAGGAACGUAGGUCUGUGACAUCUUGAGCUCAGCCUUCUGAAAGUUUAAGCAUAGGACUCAGGACUUUUGCCUCCUCUGUCUGCCAGGUAUCAAGACACAACUCGUGUGUCUUCUUCAUCAACAUUCACAAGACCCUUCAGUCAGAAGAGAUGACUUCAUCCAUGUGCCUCUCCUGUGCCUUGUACUUCCCUAUUUUGAGAGUUUUCCUACAGUAUUUUAGAAGACUAUAAAAGAAAAGCAAUGAAAGAUUGACUGACUUCAGAUUGUGGAAAUGUGUGUGCUUUUUCUCUUUAUUUCUAUAUUUUCAAAAUUUCUUAUAGUGAUCUUAUAUCACCUUCAUAAUAUAGUAAAAUGUUAUAUAAAACAUUAGAGCAUAUAUAGAUACUUUUUAAAUGGAAACACACACAAACAUUCCUCACUAGAGUAAACUCCUUGUAUACGGACUUGUUUCAUUUUUUCUUUUCCUUAUUUUUUAAAAAAAAUUAUUUUAAAAUUUAUCUCUAUUUCAACCAGGAGACAACUGAUUAAAUUAUUAUUAGAAAUUAGUAGCAUAUUAUAUCAAAAUGAAACAGUAAAUAUAACUCAGCAAAUUAGAUUUUUAAAAGCAAAUGAAAACAUAAGCACGGCUAGCUUAACAUGAAGAGCUAAAGAAAAAAUGACAUUUUAAAAAUUUUCUCCUUACAUUUUUGAAAUACAUCUGGACCUUUGUUAUAGCAUACAGCAUUUUGUUGAUAUUAAACGUGUUCUGUACUUAGUCCAGUUUCUAAAUUUGCAAUUUAUUUUGUACAAAGCACAUUUGCUUGCUUAUGUGUUUUAAAGUUCAUCCGUUUCAUAAUGUUUUA